This 1370-nucleotide ribosomal RNA is filed under the name uncultured bacterium. RNAcentral describes it as "bacterial SSU rRNA". It matches the Rfam family "Bacterial small subunit ribosomal RNA". The record is from RNAcentral.
GAGUUUGAUCCUGGCUCAGGACGAACGCUGGCGGCACGCUUAACACAUGCAAGUCGAACGAGAGAAGAGAAGCUUGCUUUUCUGAUCUAGUGGCGGACGGGUGAGUAACACGUGAGCAAUCUGCCUUUCAGAGGGGGAUACCGAUUGGAAACGAUCGUUAAUACCGCAUAACAUAAUUGGACCGCAUGAUUUGAUUAUCAAAGAUUUAUCGCUGAAAGAUGAGCUCGCGUCUGAUUAGCUAGUUGGUAAGGUAACGGCUUACCAAGGCGACGAUCAGUAGCCGGACUGAGAGGUUGAUCGGCCACAUUGGGACUGAGACACGGCCCAGACUCCUACGGGAGGCAGCAGUGGGGAAUAUUGCACAAUGGAGGAAACUCUGAUGCAGCGAUGCCGCGUGAGGGAAGAAGGUUUUAGGAUUGUAAACCUCUGUCUUUGGGGACGAAAAAUGACGGUACCCAAGGAGGAAGCUCCGGCUAACUACGUGCCAGCAGCCGCGGUAAUACGUAGGGAGCGAGCGUUGUCCGGAAUUACUGGGUGUAAAGGGAGCGUAGGCGGGAUCGCAAGUCAGAUGUGAAAACUAUGGGCUUAACCCAUAAACUGCAUUUGAAACUGUGGUUCUUGAGUGAAGUAGAGGUAAGCGGAAUUCCUAGUGUAGCGGUGAAAUGCGUAGAUAUUAGGAGGAACAUCAGUGGCGAAGGCGGCUUACUGGGCUUUAACUGACGCUGAGGCUCGAAAGCGUGGGGAGCAAACAGGAUUAGAUACCCUGGUAGUCCACGCCGUAAACGAUGAUUACUAGGUGUGGGGGGACUGACCCCUUCCGUGCCGCAGCAAACGCAAUAAGUAAUCCACCUGGGGAGUACGACCGCAAGGUUGAAACUCAAAGGAAUUGACGGGGGCCCGCACAAGCAGUGGAGUAUGUGGAUUAAUUCGAAGCAACGCGAAGAACCUUACCAGGUCUUGACAUCGUAUGCAUAGCUCAGAGAUGAGUGAAAUCUCUUCGGAGACAUAUAGACAGGUGGUGCAUGGUUGUCGUCAGCUCGUGUCGUGCGAUGUUGGGUUAAGUCCCGCAACGAGCGCAACCCUUACUGUUAGUUGCUACGCAAGAGCACUCUAGCAGGACUGCCGUUGACAAAACGGAGGAAGGUGGGGAUGACGUCAAAUCAUCAUGCCCCUUAUGACCUGGGCCUCACACGUACUACAAUGGCUGUCAACAGAGGGAUGCAAAGCCGCGAGGUGGAGCGAACCCCUAAAAGCAGUCUUAGUUCGGAUUGUAGGCUGCAACCCGCCUACAUGAAGUCGGAAUUGCUAGUAAUCGCAGAUCAGCAUGCUGCGGUGAAUACGUUCCCGGGCCUUGCACACACCGCCCGUCA